This 496-nucleotide ribosomal RNA is filed under the name uncultured bacterium. RNAcentral's name for it is "partial 16S ribosomal RNA". It matches the Rfam family "Bacterial small subunit ribosomal RNA", at positions 29 to 507 of the family's 1533-position model. The record is from RNAcentral.
ACGAACGCUGGCGGCGUGCCUCAUACAUGCAAGUUGAGCGAUGAAGAUUGGUGCUUGCACCAAUUUGAAGAGCAGCGAACGGGUGAGUAACGCGUGGGGAAUCUGCCUUUGAGCGGGGGACAACAUUUGGAAACGAAUGCUAAUACCGCAUAACAACUUUAAACAUAAGUUUUAAGUUUGAAAGAUGCAAUUGCAUCACUCAAAGAUGAUCCCGCGUUGUAUUAGCUAGUUGGUGAGGUAAAGGCUCGCCAAGGCGAUGAUACAUAGCCGACCUGAGAGGGUGAUCGGCCACAUUGGGACUGAGACACGGCCCAAACUCCUACGGGAGGCAGCAGUAGGGAAUCUUCGGCAAUGGACGAAAGUCUGACCGAGCAACGCCGCGUGAGUGAAGAAGGUUUUCGGAUCGUAAAACUCUGUUGGUAGAGAAGAACGUUGGUGAGAGUGGAAAGCUCAUCAAGUGACGGUAACUACCCAGAAAGGGACGGCUAACUACGUG